UACAGAGGUCUCAAGCGUUGUUCGGAAUCACUGGGCGUAAAGGGAGCGUAGGCGGCGUGGUAAGUCAGAUGUGAAAUCCCGGGGCUCAACCCCGGAACUGCAUCCGAUACUGCCGUGCUUGAGGGUUGGAGAGGUAGCUGGAAUUCUCGGUGUAGCAGUGAAAUGCGUGGAUAUCGAGAGGAACACUCGUGGCGAAGGCGAGCUACUGGACAACAUCUGACGCUGAGGCUCGAAGGCUAGGGGAGCAAAAGGG
This 253-nucleotide ribosomal RNA is filed under the name uncultured bacterium. Its description in RNAcentral is "partial 16S ribosomal RNA". It matches the Rfam family "Bacterial small subunit ribosomal RNA", at positions 524 to 776 of the family's 1533-position model. The record is from RNAcentral.